RNAcentral lists this ribosomal RNA (252 nucleotides) under uncultured bacterium. Its description in RNAcentral is "partial 16S ribosomal RNA". It matches the Rfam family "Bacterial small subunit ribosomal RNA", at positions 524 to 776 of the family's 1533-position model. The record is from RNAcentral.
UACGGAGGAUGCGAGCGUUAUCCGGAUUUAUUGGGUUUAAAGGGUGCGUAGGCGGGAUGCCAAGUCAGCGGUAAAAAUGCGGUGCUCAACGCCGUCGAGCCGUUGAAACUGGCGUUCUUGAGUGGGCGAGAAGUAUGCGGAAUGCGUGGUGUAGCGGUGAAAUGCAUAGAUAUCACGCAGAACUCCGAUUGCAAAGGCAGCAUACCGGCGCCCUACUGACGCUGAGGCACGAAAGCGUGGGUAUCGAACAGG